This 194-nucleotide ribosomal RNA is filed under the name uncultured Actinomycetales bacterium. RNAcentral's name for it is "partial 16S ribosomal RNA". It matches the Rfam family "Bacterial small subunit ribosomal RNA", at positions 140 to 334 of the family's 1533-position model. Lineage: Bacteria; Bacillati; Actinomycetota; Actinomycetes; Actinomycetales. The record is from RNAcentral.
GGUAGUAACUUCAGGAAGCUGGGGCUAAUACCGGAUAGGAGCUCCUGCUGCAUGGUGGGGGUUGGAAAGUUUCGGCGGUUGGGGAUGGACUCGCGGCUUAUCAGCUUGUUGGUGGGGUAGUGGCUUACCAAGGCUUUGACGGGUAGCCGGCCUGAGAGGGUGACCGGCCACAUUGGGACUGAGAUACGGCCCAG